Capra hircus (goat) is the source of this 544-nucleotide long non-coding RNA. RefSeq lists it as uncharacterized. The transcript has 3 exons. Lineage: Eukaryota; Metazoa; Chordata; Mammalia; Artiodactyla; Bovidae. The record is from RefSeq and is a predicted model, not a curated record.
UCGGGACUCCAAGCACCCUGGCCCGGGACGCCCUCGACGGAAGCCCAGUGCCGCGUCCGUCGAGCGAGGCGCGAGGCCAGCAGCUGCCUGCAAGGCGGAGUCAGGCGGCCCUAGCUUCGGCGGGGAAGCAUCUCCGCCGAAACUCGAGGGCACUGGUCUAGGCACGGGCCCGCGGUGGCGGCAGCCGGCCCGAGCAAGGCGCUACUGGACUCGGGCCCCGCAGGCGUGGACGCCACUGGUCGGGCCGCUCCUUCGCCGGCCUGAGAGCACCCUCCCUUGUCGGCGCGCUCCCUGGAGUAACGGUAGCACUGGCUGUGGCCCUAGGCGUCUCCGGAGUGCUCGUAGCGGGAGAGUGUCCUGGGUUCCUGGGGGAGCUCCAGGCAGAGAGAGCCACGGCCCUUGCCUGCGUCCCUGUGGGGGAAAAAGUACCAAGUGAAAUGUGCUACUGCAGCUUCUAUUGAACGAAAGCCACUUGGUCCUGCAGAUAAUUUACCACCCAAGGGGGAAGUAUCUUUGAAGGCAUGGGAGGCUAUCAUAAAGACUG